Molecule: non-coding RNA, 699 nt
Organism: Cinara cedri
Lineage: Eukaryota; Metazoa; Arthropoda; Insecta; Hemiptera; Aphididae
Source: the annotation of a GenBank genome assembly
GACCUGGAAUAUUUAUAUACAACUUAGAAACAAAACAAUAUUCUUACAACUACAAUAGCUAUCCAUAUGAUUUCUUUAAAUCAUUACUGAUAUAAUUUUUACUUGGUGUAAAAACAUUUAGAAGUGAACACACAUUAUGGUGAAACCAAUAGAUCCCUUGCUUAACUCAGAAUCUAAAAAAAAAUGUAUACGAGAAUUUUCCGAAUUAUUAAUAAUAAUAGGAUAUUAUACUUAAGAAUUCGUUUUCCAGAAGUAGGUAUGCUCAUUAUUCGUUAUUUUUUUAUGAUAUUUAUAACAGUUGAACAGUCAUUUUUUUAUACCAAAAAUGAUUACUAAGAAUAUUAAAUAAAUUAAAGAUUCCAAGGAAAAAAAUAUUAUAAGUAGGUAGGGUCGGAUUAAGACAAAAUAUUAUUCUAAGCAAGAUUUCCAAGGCGCUACUACGAUCAAACAUUUUUUUAAAAAAUUUAACUAAUGAAUAUUAAUUAAUAUUGAAUAUAAUAGAAUUCACCAAAAUUAAUAAUAGCUAUUUCAGCGCUCUAAUGCUUAAUCUGCCUGUAUAUUAAUUCAGGACUGGCUAUCAGAUCACCAUUAUUGAACAUAAUAGUUGCAGAAGCAGAAUUCAUGAUGGACGUUUUGCAGGUUAUUGACAACCUAAAGAAUUUAAAUACUCAAAAAGUAUUAAGCUAUAUUUAUUUAAUU